UGACUGCAGAGGGAUGAACAUUUGCUAUCUAGUUUAAUAUAUCCCAGUUCAGGUAAUAGAAAAAAUUUGACAACCAUCAUGGAAAUAUUGUUUCCUUGGUUGUAGGAGUUGUUUCCUGGCAAAGCUCAAGCAACAGAGGAAGGGAGUGGAAAUGUGAUGGCACCUGAUUUCUACGUUUUCUCACUUUUAGGAGAGACAGACUGAGGCAAAAUCCUGAACAGUUUGGUCAGUGUGAUACAAUACUUCUACUACAAAAAAUUCCAGGGAUAUAUGGUUUCUUAUUUUCCUCUUCCAGUGUUUUUGGACCACUGUGAUAUGUCAGCUGUGUUCCAAGCUGUUUUGGACAAAGAGGGAGUGUUUACUGGCUACCAGCAAUGUUGGUGAGAAUCUGCUUCCUGUCCUCUGUGCAGGAAUAUUUUGCUGAUUUGCAAAAGGCUGAAAAAUAUGUAAUCAGAAUAAGGAACUAUCCAUAGUACCUGCAUGCACAUGGGUGCAGACAGAUUUGCUGUAGGAACAUCUGGCUUUUUUCUUCAACAGGAGAGAAUCCAAAGAGGAGAAAAACAACUAGACAAAAUAUCUUAGUUAUGAAUUGUCAUUUAAUAA
Molecule: long non-coding RNA, 603 nt
Organism: Chiroxiphia lanceolata (lance-tailed manakin)
Lineage: Eukaryota; Metazoa; Chordata; Aves; Passeriformes; Pipridae
Exons: 6
Source: RefSeq, a predicted model, not a curated record